This 515-nucleotide ribosomal RNA is filed under the name uncultured bacterium. RNAcentral describes it as "bacterial SSU rRNA". It matches the Rfam family "Bacterial small subunit ribosomal RNA", at positions 8 to 518 of the family's 1533-position model. The record is from RNAcentral.
AGAGUUUGAUUAUGGCUCAGGAUGAACGCUAGCGGCAGGCCUAAUACAUGCAAGUCGAACGGGAUAAGCCCUUCGGGGGCUUUGAGAGUGGCGCACGGGUGCGUAACGCGUAUGCAACCAACCCCUUUCCGGGGGACAGCCGGUGGAAACGCCGGGUAAUACCCCAUGCCAACGUCUAUGGACAUCCAUUAACGUUGAAAGACUUCGGUCGGAGAGGGACGGGCAUGCGUCCCAUUAGCUGGUUGGCGGGGCAACGGCCCACCAAGGCGAUGAUGGGUAGGGGAUCUGAGAGGACGGUCCCCCACACUGGUACUGAGACACGGACCAGACUCCUACGGGAGGCAGCAGUAAGGAAUAUUGGGCAAUGGGGGUAACCCUGACCCAGCCAUGCCGCGUGAGGGAAUAAGGCCCUACGGGUCGUAAACCUCUUUUGCUCGGGGACAAGGACGUCGUCGUGAACGGCGUUUGCGGGUACCGGGCGAAUAAGCAUCGGCUAACUCCGUGCCAGCCGCUGC